Molecule: ribosomal RNA, 562 nt
Filed under: Penicillium sp. ASR-165
Lineage: Eukaryota; Fungi; Ascomycota; Eurotiomycetes; Eurotiales; Aspergillaceae
Description: eukaryotic LSU rRNA
Rfam family: 5.8S ribosomal RNA (bases 226-379)
Source: RNAcentral
CCCCACCAUUAACCCCCUUCCGUAGUGAACCUGCGGAAGGAUCAUUACCGAGUGCGGGCCCUCGCGGCCCAACCUCCCACCCUUGUCUCUCUACCCCUGUUGCUUUGGCGGGCCCACCGGGGCCACCUGGUCGCCGGGGGACGCACGUCCCCGGGCCCGCGCCCGCCGAAGCGCUCUGUGAACCCUGAUGAAGAUGGGCUGUCUGAGUACGAUGAAAAUUGUCAAAACUUUCAACAAUGGAUCUCUUGGUUCCGGCAUCGAUGAAGAACGCAGCGAAAUGCGAUAAGUAAUGUGAAUUGCAGAAUUCCGUGAAUCAUCGAAUCUUUGAACGCACAUUGCGCCCCCUGGCAUUCCGGGGGGCAUGCCUGUCCGAGCGUCAUUUCUGCCCUCAAGCACGGCUUGUGUGUUGGGUGUGGUCCCCCCGGGGACCUGCCCGAAAGGCAGCGGCGACGUCCGUCUGGUCCUCGAGCGUAUGGGGCUCUGUCACUCGCUCGGGAAGGACCUGCGGGGGUUGGUCACCACCACAUUUACCACGUGACCUCGAUCAGUAGAUACCCGCUGA